This is a long non-coding RNA of Lethenteron reissneri (Far Eastern brook lamprey), 3387 nucleotides long. RefSeq lists it as uncharacterized. The record is from RefSeq and is a predicted model, not a curated record. NCBI's taxonomy places the organism in Eukaryota, Metazoa, Chordata, Hyperoartia, Petromyzontiformes, Petromyzontidae.
UCACUUUGAUAUUGACAAGGUCUACGAUAUCCCCAACCUGACUAUGGCUUGGAAGACCUUUAGGUACACGUUUCUGCAAAUUCUUGACAAACAUGCUCCUUUGGUUAAAUUACAAAUUAAAGGCAACCGCCCACCAUGGUUUGAUCCUUUGAUUAAAAAAAUGUGUCACAUUUUUCUAAGGACAAAAUAAUUCACUUCUUUAGCCUACCGGUGUGUUGAAGAGAGAAUCAACUGCAUUAUAAAAAUUUGAGUACGACGUUUCGCUGGCAAUUACAAUCAGCUUCAUCGGGCAAGAAUGGUGAAGCUCUCCUGUUGCUCCCGGUCUUAAAUAGAGCAGCAGCAGGGUGACGUCAUCAUUUAAACCUUUGUCCAAUUGAAUCUGUUGAUUAGCAUUACUCUGAUGUCAUCUACAUCAUGGACUAAAUUUUAGUUUUAUGUUCAUCGACUUGUUUUGCACGCAGUCAGCUUUUUUGCCUUCUAGUUGGCUAUAAUGUAUGUUGAAAUGUAGCUUGCAGGUGCACGCAUGAGAAAAAGUUGAACGACUGCAAAUGAGAGACAUCACGUUGACUGUUGAGAAAUCUAAGUGGCUUUGGGGGGGGGGGGGGCAGGCCUCGUCGCUAUAUGGGAUGAUGGCGGAUGCAUCGUAGACAACGGUGAAGGAAUGGCAGCCAGAGGAGAGAACUCUCCUGGCAAUAUGAGCACCGCUGAGCCUGAGCGACGAGACCACCUUGUGCAGGAACGCGAUUGGGAUCGUUUACAUUGCGAGGUCAUCAGGGAUUGGCAAGGACCCUGGAGAUGCGUUUUUCCAGCAGUGGAUAGAGCCUGGCUGACGAUAAUGGAAAACAAUAUCUGGGUUACAUAUUUUAUAUCGGCCAACCCACACGGUUUACCCGUAUUUUUGUACGGGCAAAUUGAGUGAAUAAAAAUGUCGAUUUGUUUGUGUUUCUUCCUUGUGAUGGGACUUUGGAGGAUGAACGUUUGAGAUUUAUAAGGGCACGGGGUGACCAAUAAUGUCUGAAUUGGUCUGUAGUAAGGUAGGUGCUGAUAAGGUGCAUGAUCUAUUUUAUGGCAAUGCAUCAUGACAGUAGUUGCUGAGCAAAAAUAAUAUUUUUUUGGUGCAUCUUGUUGUUUGCUUUCAGUUUGCACAGUCCGUCUCAGGUACUGUAAGGGUGAGGCUUAAAGGUGGAUAUUACAAAAAGGAAAGCAGUAUUUUUCGAAAAUACGAGCUUCCACAAUUUAAAUCAAGCGUGACUUACGUUCAUAUCUACGUUGUUAAAAACGAAAGUAUCAAGGAGACAUGCAAUUCUGGAGCUCAACUUCAGCUGUUUGAAGAUUUAAAGAAUAUGGAUGUACCUUACAUUUGCUAUGAUGACAUAACAACAAACUGCGCGUACUUCCUCGAUGAAAACUGCGAUACUAUCUGCCCUUCAAACAGCGUUGCUUUUCUCUGCAACAACCCUCUGACAUUUUUCCUUUUGGGUCUUGUGCUGUACAAUGCAUGGUAAUCCAGAGGGUGCAGCAGUGGCGAGAUGCCAAGUCCCAUGUCUGGUAUAGAUAGAGAUCGUGGGUUCGAUCCCGACCCUUAUGCUUGUAUAUUUAGAGUUUGCACGUUUUCCCCGUGGUCGCGUGGAUAUUUAUCCAGGUCCUCUGGUUUUUCCCUAUACAUUUAGAAAUGUGCGUUUAGAGUAUUUAGCUGCUAAAAAUGCCCACAUGAUAAGCCGCUUCAUUAGGCUAUCAUUUGUGGCCAGGUCGCUUCUGAAAAAGAGCUAUAUGGCUCGGUGGGUCAUAUCUAAUAAAAUGAAAACUUUAGUUUAGCAUUGGUUAUAAUAAUUUUUCUCGCUUUUUGGGACACUUUUUAAUGAGCCCAUGAUUGGAGCUGGCUUUUAAAUGAGUUGCUUAAAAAUGUAUAAUUAAUAUGCCUUUCAUAAAAUCUCUUCAUUAGUAGAUGUACACUACUAAUACAUGCAACUUGCCUCCUGAUGCAUUAUUUUUAGAUGUUACAUCUUGAUUCCAAUAUUAUUUUGCCUAUUGACAUUUAAUUAUAAAUCAUGAAUCAGGAAAUUAAUUGGUAAAUUGGAUACAAGAGGUUCAAUCCGAGAUUUUAUAACUUUUAUACUGUAUGGUUGGUUACCACACAAAGUUUCCCACAAUGAUCUAAUACUGUAUAUGGAGCCUGCUAAGAUACAUAUUAAUGAUGUUUUAUAAGCUAGGUAUUGCAGGAUUACAAUAUGGUCGAGCGUAUGGCUAUAAACCAUUAAAAUAAAAAUGUCACCUCCUUGGUUGAUUUGAGUCACAGAAAGGGUCAGCCUGAAGUUCUAAAUGUAUUCAAACUUUGCAAUAAACAUGGAAAAUUAUGAUCUACAUCAUCGGUGAAUCAAUUAUAUCAAUAAACAUUCGGGAUAUACUUUAUGUCCCAUAACAGUCUUCUGGAUUUAUAUGUUGCACCUAUGGAGCUAUAAGUAUCUUUUGCUAUUUGCCAUUAAAAUAAAACCGGCUUUCUCCUUAUUUUCUACAAGGCCCUAUCUCAAACAGGAAAUAGUAGGCAAUGCAUACACUAUAAUCUGACCAAAAUCUUGGGUAAAUCUGUCAGGCGAAUAUCCUCUGAAGAUGAACUUGGUGAUCAAUUGGCUUCUUUAAUGGAAUCACACUCGGAGAAAGACUAAAAGAUAGAUUGCGGUUCCCAAACUCUGACAGAUUGUGUACCACUAAUUUUAAACGACACUUUGAGUACCACCAGCAAAUGUAUCCACAAUGGAAACAGACUAUGUAUUAAAACAACAUUAAAACUAUUAGUGUUCAUAACACAUAUCUUUGAUAAAUUAUGGUAGCCAUAUAAAACCGUUAUAAAUUGCAAAAAGAUAUUACAAACAUACUCCUCCAGAGAUCCAUUUGGCGUUUUAGGGAUGUCCUUCAUGGGAUGGGUGAUAUUUCUUGACAGAGCAGUUGUCAGAUGUCUGGUGAAUUCUUGGUUGAUUUCAGCCAAAGGUCCGAUUCUGCAUUGAGCUUCCCGCUUUUGUUUUUAAUCGCAAUCGUGUGGCGAGAUGCUAAACUAACAAUUCUGAAACUCAUCUCAAACUUACUUUUCAGUUCUUCUUCUCUUCUUAUUUAGUGCUGCCUAACGGCGUGUGCGACUUCACGAUAUUGGUCCCGGUCUAGCACGGCGUGUAGAGUUUGUGCUGUUGUUAAUUGUAGCCAUGUUUUGAUGUUACUGAGCCAUGUCGUUUUGGCCGUCCUGGUCGUUUUUUCCCUUCGAUUUUUCCUUCCAGGAUUUGCUUUAAUAUCUGGUAUUUGUGGUCGUUAAGGGUGGUCAAAUAUCACAUCAAAAGUACUUUCCUUGGUGUGUGUUUAAAAUCACAGGACAGUGAAUGGUUGUAUUUUACAAAGUAA